Molecule: long non-coding RNA, 975 nt
Organism: Eriocheir sinensis (Chinese mitten crab)
Lineage: Eukaryota; Metazoa; Arthropoda; Malacostraca; Decapoda; Varunidae
Exons: 2
Source: RefSeq, a predicted model, not a curated record
CUUCUUCCCGGUGGAUCCUGAUGGUCGGCCCAAGGCUUCUUCCCGGUGGAUCCUGAUGGUCGGCCCAAGGCUUCUUCCCGGUGGAUCCUGAUGGUCGGUCCAAGGCUUCUUCCCGGUGGAUCCUGAUGGUCGGCCCAAGGCUUCUUCCCGGUGGAUCCUGAUGGUCGGCCCAAGGCUUCUUCCCGGUGGAUCCUGAUGGUCGGUCCAAGGCUUCUUCCCGGUGGAUCCUGAUGGUCGGCCCAAGGCUUCUUCCCGGUGGAUCCUGAUGGUCGGCCCAAGGCUUCUUCCCGGUGGAUCCUGAUGGUCGGCCCAAGGCUUCUUCCCGGUGGAUCAAAAUGGUCGGUCCAAGGCUUCUUCCCGGUGGAUCCUGAUGGUCGGCCCAAGGCUUCUUCCCGGUGGAUCUUGAUGGUCGGCCCAAGGCUUCUUCCUGGUGGGGCCUGAUGGUCGGCCCAGCCCGUUCUGGGCCAGGCGAGUGUUUAUAGUGGCGCCAUCUUGCAUUGGCUCAUGCUGCCUUCCCGGAGCUCAUCUUUAAUCCUAGAAUCUAGAGUCCGGGUUGAUGGGUGGUCUUCUGGACAGCAUGUGGGUAGUUUUAAGCCACUCGGCGGCGGCUGAAAAAUCCCAGCUUGGUGGGACCGGGCGGGGAUUGAACUCGCGUCGUCCUGAACGCGGCGCCGUCACGCUAUCCAUUCAGCCACCGCCUCCUUACCACAGGAUACCACAGUUCACCUUCUUCAGGUUAUCUAGGUACCAAGUUAUCGAAAAUGAUGAUGAACAGCUGGUUGGGCUGCACACCGGGUCUGGGGUCCUCGGGUUCGUAGCUAGGCGAGUUAAUCACUACACCACGGAGGCGCCAUUUAAUUACCUAUAUUUUAAAUACUAAGUAGCCUCCUCAUCAUAUUUUUUGUCAUAUACCCUGUGUGUGUGUGUGUGUGUGUGUGUGUGUGUGUGUGUGUGUGUGUGUGUGUGUGUGUGUAA